UUUCCCAUGACAGCCUGAUCAUAAGGCAUGGCAGAGAGAGAAGGAUCAUGACUGCCUCUGCCCUGAAGCUAUGUAUGUGUUGUGUCAGACUCAGGACGGUAGCAAUCGAUGAGAUAAAGAUCUUCAAGCCUUCACCUCCCACUCUCCCCCAGCUCCUGGGCAGAGCUUGCUAAGCCAGGAGGGCUGCCUGCUCUCAGAAGCUGGAGUCCCUGGGUGGGCAGUUGGUGCCAUACCAUGGCCCACUCCCUCCCUUCUCUCCCCAUAAUAACCACUGCUCCACAAGUUUAAGUCCCCAGGCAGGUCUUAGUUGCGGCAUGCAUGCCAGAUCUAGUUCCCCGACCAGGGAUCAAACCUGGGCCCCCUGCAUUGGGAGCACGGAGUCUUACCCACUGGAGCACCAGGCUCUCUCGAUUAGGCACCAUGGAAUGGGAAAAAAUAACCCCUUUUACAGUUUAAGAAGCGGCACCUAUAAAAUCAGCUGUAAUGGAGCCAGUCUCACUGGGCCAUGGGCUGGGCAAGAAAGGCCAAGAAAAUUCACCUAAAAGGCUGUGUAGCUGACUUGAAUGAUCCCACAUGACAGGGUCCAGCUACGUCCUGGGUUCCAUUGGACAACUACCCCAAACCCAAGAAUGGUCCAGCCCAGUCCUGGGAUCAUCAAAAAGUCCUGAAGAGGGCUUCCCUGGUGGCGCAGUGGUUGAGAAUCUGCCUGCCAAUGCAGGGGACACGGGUUCGAGCCCUGGUCUGGGAAGAUCCCACAUGCUGCGGAGCAACUGGGCCCGUGAGCCACAAUUACUGAGCCUGCGCGUCUGGAGCCUGUGCUCCGCAACAAGAGAGGCCGCGAUAGUGAGAGGCCCGCGCACCGCGAUGAAGAGUGGCCCUCGCUUGCCACAAUUGGAGGAAGCCCUCGCACAGAAACGAAGACCCAACACAGCCAUAAAUAAAUUAAAAAAAAAAAAAAAAAAAAAAAAGUCCUGAAGAAAAUCACUUAUUGACAGACAUCAUUAAUUCUUAGCUAUUUUUUAUGGUUUGCCCUACCUUUUCUAUCACAAACUAAAUCAACCUACUGUGGUGACAUGGUGUUUAAUUUGAUGGUGGCUGAGGAAGGAAGGGUAUUUCAAACCCCCGUAGGGUUUUCUUUGCCUGUUA
Long non-coding RNA from Balaenoptera ricei (Rice's whale), 1146 nucleotides. RefSeq lists it as uncharacterized. The record is from RefSeq and is a predicted model, not a curated record. NCBI's taxonomy places the organism in Eukaryota, Metazoa, Chordata, Mammalia, Artiodactyla, Balaenopteridae. The transcript is spliced from 5 exons.